GCGGGUAUGCCGGAGUGGUCAAACGGGACAGACUCAAAAUCUGUUGGCUUUAUGCCUACGAAGGUUCGAACCCUUUUACCCGCA
This 84-nucleotide transfer RNA is filed under the name Candidatus Pacearchaeota archaeon. RNAcentral's name for it is "tRNA-Leu". It matches the Rfam family "tRNA". From Rfam's summary of the family: Transfer RNA (tRNA) molecules are approximately 80 nucleotides in length. Their secondary structure includes four short double-helical elements and three loops (D, anti-codon, and T loops). Lineage: Archaea; Nanobdellati. The record is from RNAcentral.